AAAUAUGUAGUUUAAUGGCAAAACACUGUGCUCAUGAUACAGGUCAUAUAAGUUCGAUUCUUAUCAUAUUUA
Molecule: transfer RNA, 72 nt
Filed under: Ministeria vibrans
Lineage: Eukaryota; Filasterea; Ministeriida; Ministeriidae
Description: tRNA-Met
Rfam family: tRNA
About the family: Transfer RNA (tRNA) molecules are approximately 80 nucleotides in length. Their secondary structure includes four short double-helical elements and three loops (D, anti-codon, and T loops).
Source: RNAcentral